AUGGAGAAGAUAAUUGAUCUAUCAGAUGGUGAGUAUGCUAGAGUUUAUGAUUAUCAACUUGAGUUGCUUAGAAGCAACCCGGGUAGCACUAUUGCAGUGACAUUAAAUCCAGAAAUUCUUGAGAGCAAUGUGUUUGAAAGAAUGUAUAUGUGUUUAGAUGGUUGCAAGAAAGGAUUUCUAGCAGGAUGUAGAAGAGUUGUGAGGCUAGAUGGAUGCUUUCUGAAGGGUGCAUUCAAGGGGCAAUUGCUUUGUGCAAUUGGCAGAGAUGCCAAUAACCAGAUGUAUCCAAUAGCCUGGGCUAUAGUAGAGGUUGAGAGCUAUGAUUCUUGGUAUUGGUUCAUUGGGUUUCUUCAAAAAGAUCUCCAGAUAAACAACAAUGGUGAAGGAUGGGUGUUCAUCUCCGAUCAGCAAAAGGGUCUCAUCAGGGCAGUCAAUGAGCUUGUGCCCCAAGCAGAGCAUAGGAUGUGCGCAAGACACAUUUACGCUAACUAG
RNAcentral lists this ribosomal RNA (492 nucleotides) under Triticum aestivum (bread wheat). RNAcentral's name for it is "partial small subunit ribosomal RNA". The record is from RNAcentral. Lineage: Eukaryota; Viridiplantae; Streptophyta; Magnoliopsida; Poales; Poaceae.